This 378-nucleotide ribosomal RNA is filed under the name uncultured bacterium. RNAcentral's name for it is "bacterial SSU rRNA". It matches the Rfam family "Bacterial small subunit ribosomal RNA", at positions 144 to 507 of the family's 1533-position model. The record is from RNAcentral.
UAACAUUUGGAAACAGAUGCUAAUACCGCAUAAAACCUAACACCGCAUGGUGUAGGGUUGAAAGAUGGUUUCGGCUAUCACUUUAGGAUGGACCCGCGGUGCAUUAGUUAGUUGGUGACGGUAAAGGCUCACCAAGACCGUGAUGCAUAGCCGACCUGAGAGGGUAACCGGCCACACUGGGACUGAGACACGGCCCAGACUCCUACGGGAGGCAGCAGUAGGGAAUCUUCCACAAUGGACGAAAGUCUGAUGGAGCAACGCCGCGUGAGUGAAGAAGGUUUUCGGAUCGUAAAACUCUGUUGUUGGAGAAGAAUGUAUUUGAUAGUAACUGAUCAGGUAGUGACGGUAUCCAACCAGAAAGCCACGGCUAACUACGUG